CCUCCUCAAACAUUCGUCACAAU
RNAcentral lists this microRNA (23 nucleotides) under Magallana gigas (Pacific oyster). RNAcentral describes it as "Mgi-Mir-184-P8d_5p* (star (passenger))". The record is from RNAcentral. Lineage: Eukaryota; Metazoa; Mollusca; Bivalvia; Ostreida; Ostreidae.